GAUGAACGCUGACAGAAUGCUUAACACAUGCAAGUCAUUGGCGAAGCUGCGCUUGCGCAGUCUAGCCAAGGCGGACGGGUGAGUAACGCGUCAGGAACUUGCCCUGCAGACAGGGAUAACAGACGGAAACGACUGAUAACACCUGGUAUUGUCAGGCUGGCGCAUGCCGGCCUGAUGAAAGGAGACACUGCAGGAGAGCCUUGCGUCCUAUUAGCUAGUUGGUGGGGUAACGGCCCACCAAGGCGAUGAUAGGUAGCCGGCCUGAGAGGGUGAACGGCCACAAGGGGACUGAGAUACGGCCCUUACUCCUACGGGAGGCAGCAGUGGGGAAUAUUGGACAAUGGGGGCAACCCUGAUCCAGCAAUUCUGUGUGCACGAAGAAGGUUUUCGGAUUGUAAAGUGCUUUCAGCAGGGAAGAAGAAAGUGACGGUACCUGCAGAAGAAGCGACGGCUAAAUACGUG
Molecule: ribosomal RNA, 462 nt
Filed under: uncultured bacterium
Lineage: Bacteria
Description: partial 16S ribosomal RNA
Rfam family: Bacterial small subunit ribosomal RNA
Source: RNAcentral